Malaclemys terrapin pileata is the source of this 905-nucleotide long non-coding RNA. RefSeq lists it as uncharacterized. The record is from RefSeq and is a predicted model, not a curated record. Lineage: Eukaryota; Metazoa; Chordata; Testudines; Emydidae. The transcript is spliced from 6 exons.
CCUUUGCUCCCAGCUGGAAAGGCCUGGUGGUUAUUACCCACCAGAUUUGAGUUGAUUGGUUCUGGUUUUGAUUUCUCCUUUUUAAUGAAGCAAGCUCUGAGGUAAGCUCAGAACAAUGGAGAAGUGUUGACAAGUGGUUCAGCCUGCCAGUAGGGAUAUGACACACAACAAAACCUGUCCUCUUUUGGAGCUUGAUCUGUGACCUUCAGGAUCAGUGACCAGAUCCUUGCAAGUCUUACUCACGUGAGAUAUCCUGUCUCAUACAGGUUUUCCUACUGAAGUCGAAUAGACUACUUAGAGAUCCUUACAAUGCAGCCUUGACACGCAAGCUGUGCACUACUUCCAUGAUUUGGCUCUGACUCCAUUACUUAAAAGAAAGAAACUCACAGAGUUUACUAAGAAUUUGUUACUUGACAGACUACAGAACAGAAUGUCAUACUUUAUUUACUCCUGAAAAUAUCACACGUCUGCCCCUGCCCAGGCAGAAGUCAGCAAACAGGUCUGUCCUAAACAAAGGAAUGUGUGCUAAGCAGUAAACAGGAUCAUGAAGCAGGAAGGGAAAACAAAGGAAGCUCAAACAGAUGGAAAAAAUCCAGUAGGGAACAUCCUUCCACAUAGACUGUCUCCUGUUUCUCAGCUGGAAAUGUUUUUCAAGAGUGACAAUGAAACUAUAAAAAGGAGGGGCAAACACACCAAAGGACCCCUCUCUCUCCCAGCCCAUUGCAUUCUCUGCACUUGAGAAGACAAAAGAAACAGCCAUUGGACUCUGGGGAAGGGGUCCUGACCUGUAGAGAUUGGUCAGUAAUCUUGCUGGAAGCAUGUGGUGAGAAAUUUUGCUUGAAUCUGAUAUAGUUUAAGUUAGAUACUAGAAUGCAUUUUUUCUUUAUUUUUCUUGUAACCAUUUC